RNAcentral lists this ribosomal RNA (769 nucleotides) under uncultured Phaeocystis. RNAcentral describes it as "SSU rRNA". It matches the Rfam family "Eukaryotic small subunit ribosomal RNA", at positions 626 to 1422 of the family's 1831-position model. The record is from RNAcentral. Lineage: Eukaryota; Haptophyta; Phaeocystales; Phaeocystaceae.
GCUCGUAGUCGGGUUUCGGGUCGGGCCGAGCGGUCUGCCGAUGGGUAUGCAUUGUUUGGCGCGGCCUUCUUUCCGGAGACCGCGGCUACUCUUAACUGAGCGGGCGUGGGAGACGGAUCGUUUACUUUGAAAAAAUCAGAGUGUUUCAAGCAGGCAGCUCGCUCUUGCAUGGUACAGCAUGGGAUGAUAGAAUAGGACUCCGGUGCUAUUUUGUUGGUUUCGAACACCAGGAGUAAUGAUUAACAGGGACAGUCAGGGGCACUCGUAUUCCGUCGAGAGAGGUGAAAUUCUCAGACCAAUGGAAGACGAACCACUGCGAAAGCAUUUGCCAGGGAUGUUUUCACUGAUCAAGAACGAAAGUUAGGGGAUCGAAGACGAUCAGAUACCGUCGUAGUCUUAACCAUAAACCAUGCCGACUAGGGAUUGGAGGGUGUUCGUUUCGACCUCUUCAGCACCUUACGGGAAACUAAAGUCUUUGGGUUCCGGGGGGAGUAUGGUCGCAAGGCUGAAACUUAAAGGAAUUGACGGAAGGGCACCACCAGGAGUGGAGCCUGCGGCUUAAUUUGACUCAACACGGGGAAACUUACCAGGUCCAGACAUUGUUAGGAUUGACAGAUUGAGAGCUCUUUCUUGAUUCGAUGGGUGGUGGUGCAUGGCCGUUCUUAGUUGGUGGAGUGAUUUGUCUGGUUAAUUCCGAUAACGAACGAGACCGUAGCCUGCUAAUAGUCCCGCGAACUUCUUGUUGGCGGCCGACUUCUUAGAGGGACAA